Molecule: long non-coding RNA, 319 nt
Filed under: Fukomys damarensis (Damara mole-rat)
Lineage: Eukaryota; Metazoa; Chordata; Mammalia; Rodentia; Bathyergidae
Description: lncRNA (ENSFDAG00000022480.1)
Source: RNAcentral
CUCCCACAACUGGAGGUCUCAGUAGAAUUCUGAGGUGAGCGUGAGGACCAGACAUUUUGAGGUGUGAUAAAGUGGUCGUGAAGAGAGCCUACCUCCUUACUGCUCACGUCCCCAAAAACAUUUUGUGUGGUUUCCUUCAAGGAAAGGCUUUGGAGCUGGAUCUGCCUGCCCACUCUUGGCCCAGCCAUCUGCUGCUGGCCUCAGAGCUUGGACCGAGCCCUGCAGCCCUCAUUGCUACAAGUCCUCACAGGCAGAAGGAAUCCUGAUCAAGGAACUGCCUGACCCCUGAGGCCAGCGACCCUCAGUUCAAACCACCCAC